Molecule: long non-coding RNA, 944 nt
Filed under: Callithrix jacchus (white-tufted-ear marmoset)
Lineage: Eukaryota; Metazoa; Chordata; Mammalia; Primates; Cebidae
Description: lncRNA (ENSCJAG00000058060.2)
Source: RNAcentral
GUACUGUUGCCUCUUAUUGAGUGGUUGAUUUGUUCAUGAUAGAAUGUAAGUAAAAUGUUAUACACAGGGGAGGUUCUAAAGUAUCCAGACAGUGUAGGGGUUGCAGACAAAAUGAUUACUUGGAAAUUUAACUCUUUUGCACGUUGGGACUUUUCUUUGUAUCGUUGCUUUUCUUACUUCAAGCCACAUUGGGAGUUUCAAAUCAUAUAUGCUUUAAAAAAAUCCUCAAUUUCCCACGGACGUUGGUAUAUACAUGUUGCCUCCUUUGGGCCUUUUAAUAUGCAUCAUUUGCCUCACCUCGCUUGGUCAGUCACCGCAGUCUGCUCAUGAUUAUGUAGAUUGUCUUAGGUGACAUGAUUCUCUCUUAAUCACGAUUAAAUGUAAAAUGGCAGAAACAUUCCUUUUGGGCAAAUCACUUUUCUCCUUUUAAAUCAAUGCUAUUUAGAAACAAAACAAAUAAAAUGGAGGCAAUAUCAAUUACCAAGGAUGAAAAGGCUUUAUCUUAUCACAUCUUCAAGGUUUUAUGCCUUUUUCUUCGUGUCCUGCCCUUCCCUCCUCCACUCCCUGCUCCUGUUUCUCUGUGAGUCAGGUUUUAACAAGGGGGACGGCAGAAAUCUCCAAGGAUAUUUCGAGGGUGAGAAAAUGCUACGAUGGACCUGCGUUUCUUGACUAAUGGUGAAAACAGAAGCUCAGAGAGGUCAAGUAACUUCUUCAAGAUUGCACAGCUAAGUGGUAGAAGCAUGUUUCCAGGUUCAGAGACUCCUCUGGCUCAUCACUGUCACAGAACCGCACUGGGCCUCAGUUCAUCACUGGAUAUCAAGAGCACCUCUACCUGCCCAGGGAUUAUCCAUCAAAGGGCCACUGUCCUAAGGAGGCCUGGAAGAGUGAAGAAAGGCCUGAUUGAUCACAAGGUCCUAUCAAAUGUCAAAGCUGGCCCUGGCUGA